AAAGGUAAGCAAGUUUGGCCCUUGCGCGCAUUCUUGAACUUAUGAUUUACGUAAUGAACGUUGUGUAACUAGCUAGAGCAACGCGCUUUCUGAUCGUAGGUUGGCCGUCUUGCUGUGCACAUUUAGCAAACAAUUUCACGAAGCCUUCCUCUGAUGUUACAGCGUACUUGCAUUCUGCUGUAAAAUAUAUGCUACCCGCCUUGAUUGCUAUGCCUGAAUGGGCACACAAUUAUGAAAACACUGAAAGUUGCUGUUCGUUCGGUAGUUUUCUGGCAAGAAGUUAUUCGUUAUAUAUUCAUUCCCGCAAGUACAGUACAUGUGUAAUGUAUCCGUCGAUGUAUCAUGGGCUUCGCGCGUUGGCACACGAUUCCUAUGUUUGACGCUUAAGCAGAUAGAAGCUUGUAUGAAGAUUUUUCUAUGUAUACAGUUUGGUUUGGAUGACCACGUCGCGAGAACCUGUGUAUUGUUUAUGUUCUUGAGUGUCUUCGCGUAUUUGUCUUCUAUGUUGCAGACCCGACAUAGGCCGAUAUUACAGUAACGAAGUUUAUUUUUAAUCGAGACAUUUCAGAGACCGGCCUUUAAGAAAGACAUAGACCAACCAAUUCUUACGAACGGGAUGCCAGCUCUUGCAAUCGUAGGUUAUACGGCAGUGCGUAAUAAAGUAAGGACUGCGAUUUUGUAGCGAUACUUACCCCUCGAUUCUAUACCACUCUUGUCGCCCACCGCAAACGGCCGGCUGUUCCAGUACGUAGCACGGGCCGGGGCGACGGUCAAACCACUAACGAAUAACGAAAAGGAAUAGCAUCGCUACAAAAUCGCGAUCUAGCUUUCAGAAUGCUUUUCAUGUGCUUAAUAUUUUUGUUUAAUCCAAUGCGCCACGUUUUACUGCAUAUUUGAGUUUUGUUUUUGAUUGUCCUGGUAGCCUGUUGUUGCUGAUUUCGUUCCUUCCUGAAACUUCGCUUGUUACAAAAUAUCAGUGUAACCUCCUUAGAUAUAACAAAGAGACAUUUGUGCAACCAGACGCAAAUUCAUGCAGCUGGCUGUGUGAGGCUCUCUUUGCAAUUCCACAUGACACUGGUAAAUCACAAAUUCCCAGGUUCACAACACAAUAAAUUAAACAUUUCUUACUUUUGAAGGCUAUGCGGAUUCUGGAGGCAUCCCUACAUCAAGCAGGAACCUGCUGCACUGCUGGAAGCUGGACAGCACGACAAUAAAGCACGUGAUCUGUGUGCUUUCUCAAAGGUAGACAUCGGCGACGGUGUAUAUGUUGAAAAGUGCCUGCUGAAGAGGCUGCGCCUGGAUGCUAACAACUCAGGCUUUCAGUUCGCGGGGGGCCUCCUUAAGGCUCCUUUUACAAAAGAAGAGGUUGAAGGGAGGCGCUACACAUGGAUGCGCAGCGAUUGUUUGUGACAUCGUCACUGCUGGCAGGCCUGGCCUGCCUUUUCGCUUCGUUCUGGGUCUUCCACGUUAUCUACUCGAAAACGCCCACAGGGUUUUGACAUUUAUUGAGCACUGCUUUCUGGAUUUGAGCUACACAAAGCUGCAGGUGAAAGCAUUGGAUUUAGUCAAUAUUUACUAGAACUAUUGCUAGGCAAAAAAAUUUUCAGAUGCAUAUCCUCAAGAAAGUUUCUGUAAAAAUUAUUUUGCCUAACAAAAGCACUCGUGGGUUCUGUGGCUGGCAGCUUGCCCAAGCCAUGUAGCACAGUGCUUGCUUUAAAGGGACACGAAAGGGAAAAUUUAUUUGAGCGUUAUUAAAUCAUUUUUCUACAACACCGAAAAAACAACUCCCUCUAAGAGAAUUGGCUUGAUAAGCCAGAUAACUUGCAAAAACGAAAACUGGUGUCGCCACCACCACCUUAUAAUUCCUGCACCAGCUCGCUGUGAUAUGGAAUUUGACGGUGUCUGUUCGGGUCUAGCUAAUGUUCUACUGGCCAAUAUUGAUGAAUUCUGUUGUAAAGGUGUCAAAGAAUAUACUUAGUUGAAGUAUGACUCCACACUGAUGUGCGGGCACUGCAUAAAACUUGAAAGUUAAAUCUUCAUUUUCUCAUCUAUUAAUCCGCUUAUUGCCACAAUGUUCAUGAAUACAGUUCUGAAAGAUUGUUUUAUCAGUCUAAAAUCAUUUAUUGUUUCUCUUUAGUAUCUCUGUAAUGGACUUUUAGCAACAAAAUGUGUGUUAGUUUGCGACAGGUAUUCUCAGCGGGGGCAAGAGCACCAGCAGCAUGCUCAGUGAUUCUGUACCAACUGAUAAUUUGAAGGAUGUCCUGUGCCACUAGGGUUAGGCCAACAUGGCUCUGUGUUAAUCACCACAAGUGUAUUAUGCAAAACUUAAUGGCCCAGAAAUUGGUAAUUCAGGGGGGAGUUGAAUUAGCUGUUUAUUUUUUUUUUUCUUUAUCAUGGACUUCUCACAUUACACUUUGUCACAACGCAUUCACUUUAAAGUAACUGGAGAAUAAGGUGGUUUGGUAUUCAGACAUGCCUUCUGUGUGUAAACAGUGUUAGAUGAGCAAUACAAAGAUACACCAUAGAUGCUGACUGGCAACAUGAAGGGGUUUGAGGGCAGCUACGAAUAUACAUCCUUGUAGUCGUACCUAUAGCACUAUGUUCAAUUUGUCACACAAGCAUAUUGCAUCCAUCACAACUGCAUGCCUAGAAAAAGACAAGGGCAACACACUCAAUUACCUUUUAUUCUAUCUAAGAAGCACUACAAUAUUUAGGCAACGAAAUUGACAUCUGGCUUGUACCCAUAAGUACUGCAAUACAGUUGUAUAACAUGUUCCUCUUGUGUGGAAAAAGGGCUGCAUACGUUUUCUUUGAGCACAAGGGGGAGUGGUAUCAGUUAAAGCCCCUCCAUCCACGCGCCACUGCCGCUUUCUUAAGUAGCGACAACCUUUGUUGUACGCCGCCUUUUCCCCUGACAUCAAAUCCGGUUCCAGCAUUUCCAGUUUCAAAGUUUCCGGUUCCGGCGUUACCGCUUCCUGGAGUUGUGCUGCGGGAAUUUCCGCUUUGACUGCCGAUGGUGAGAUGCCCACGCGUGCUUAGCAGAGCUGUGGUAGUCACCAUGAGAAGAAUGCAAAGGCGACAAGCUGUUGUAUUCCGCUGAAGUAGUAAUUCUCGGUCGCUGUUUUCUAAAUGCAUGAAAAAUGGCAGUGGUCUCCAAGCGCCCAGGCACUACAUUCCACUGUACGUUGUCUCGUGGCACAACCCGUCGCAGGUUGACGCGAAACAGCGAACACGAUCAGAUCGCUGGUUACAAUAGGCGGUGGUACUUGGAUGGAAUCGCAUUCACAGUUUAAACCGCAGCUGGUGCAAUUAAAGCCUCUCCAUCGACGCGAAAGUAAACAACGUUAAGAAAAACAUAGCGUUACUUCCACUCGGAACAGGAAGCUGCAGCUACGGAAGUUCCGCUUGACGCCGGAAGCUAAGGGGGCGAGUGGCAGAGGAACGUGGAGGAAGAGGGUAGGUUGGCGGUACGUAACCUGGUUGGCGGAAACGUGUAUGGAGGGGCUUUAGUAUCAGUUAAUGGCUGUUUUCACAUAUAUGUUUUGUCGUGUGUAUUAGCAAUCACCACUUUCCUUAUCUGAGUGAGGUCAUUUUUUAGAAAGUUUGAAAGUUUAUAGAACAUGUUGCUCAUGGUUGUUGCAGUUUUCUUCCUAACUAUCCAUUCAUUGCACUGUGCACCCAUGUCUUGGGCAACUAGCUGUUUGAAGGUCAGCAUGCUAUCGAUGGGUCUAAUGAUAAUCUCUAGUGCCCUCUCAUUUGCUUGUUGCAAUACUUAAGAGUUAGAUUUUGUAUAUUGUGUCACUGGUUUAUUUUCACUGUACUUUAGUUUCACUACAUCUUGAAUGUGUUGUGAUAGUUUUUCUUUUGCAAUGAAAGAUAUGGUGGGCAGUUGCCGACACUAAUGUUUCGCUGGGCAGUAAUGGUCAUUAGCAGCAGAUGCUAGCUGCCCUUAAGUGCAAUGUUUUUAUGUUGCAUAGUAUUGUUCAUGAUCCAUUGAAUGCACUGCACGCACAUGUUGUGGACAACUGCCUGUUUGAAGAAAUUAUCUGCAUAUUCAGUGGGUCUAAUGUGAACAUCUCUACUACUGACUUAGCUUCACUACAUCUUGAAUGUGUUGUGAUAGUUUUUAUUUUGCCGUGACAGAUGUGGUGGGCAGUUGCCGGCACUAAUGUGAUAGUACGAAUGCUUGCUGUAUUUACCACAUGGUUGUUUCAUUUCGUCUGAGGCAGUAGUGGCCGUUAGCAGCAGAUGUCAUAUGGCCUUAAGUGCAAUAUUUUUGUGUUGCAUAGUUUUGUCCAUAAUCAUCCAUUGAAUGCACUGCAGACCCAUGUUCUGGACAACUGCCUGUUUGAAGGAAUGAUCUGCAUAUUCAGUGUGUCUAAUGUGAACAUCUCUAGUACUGCCUGUGUAUUUGUGAGUUAGAUUUUGUAUUGUGUGUCAUUUUGUUUUCGCUGUGCUUUAGUUUCACUACAUCGUGAAUGGGUUGAUAGUUUUCCUUUUGCAGUGAGAGAUAUGAUGGGCAGUGGCCGGCACUAAUGUGAUAGUACGAAUGCUUGCUGUAUUUACCACAUGGUUGUUUCAUUUUGUCUGGCGCAGGAAUAGCCGUUAGCAGCAGAUGCCAUUUGACCUUAAGUGCAAUAUUUUUAUGUUGCAUAGUUAUGUUCAUACUAAUCCAUUGGAUGCACAGCACACCCAUGUUCUGGACAACUGCCUGUUUGAAGGAAUGACCUGCAUAUUCAGUGGGUUUAAUGUGAACGUCUCUAGUACUGACUGUAUAUUUAUCAGUUAGGUUUUAUAUUGUAUGUUGCUUGUUUUCACUGUAGGCUGCUGAGCACGAGGUCGCGGGAUCGAAUCCCGGCCAUGGCGGCCGCAUUUCGAUGGAGGCGAAAUACGAAAACACCCGUGUACUUAGAUUUAGGUGCACGUUAAAGAUCCCCAGGUGGUCGAAAUUUCCGGAGUCCUCCACUACGGCGUGCCUCAUAAUCAGAAAGUGGUUUUGGCACGUAAAACCCUAUAAUUUAAUUUUUUUUUUUCACUGUACUUUAGUGGGAUUGCACAUUGAAUGUGUUGUGAUGUAUUUUAUUUUGCUAUGAGAGAUCUAAUGGGCAGUUACCAGCCCCCGGUCUUUGUAUUAGUACAAAUAUUUAUUAUGCUUAUCACAGCAUUUUGUAAGGCUAUAGUUUUGUGAUGAUUAACUCAUGCCUGACUUUUUUAUGAGAAACAUGUCACAACUAAUAAACAAUCACUCAUGCUUGGGAUCCAUGAAA
Molecule: non-coding RNA, 5267 nt
Organism: Dermacentor andersoni
Lineage: Eukaryota; Metazoa; Arthropoda; Arachnida; Ixodida; Ixodidae
Source: RefSeq, a predicted model, not a curated record